CAGCUUCUUUCAUCAAAUGAGUAUUGCCCUUUACAGCAGUAAUAACCGCUACCAAAUACAUUGCAGUCGUCAUGGGAAUAACAACCGUUUUUGUUAAAACAUUUCUUUUCGGGUAGUUUAGGGCACUUUUUAUCAUAAGCCCCGUUUACACGACAAGCGUUUUGGGUACGGCACUCUUAAAUUUAGGCACGCGGACCAUUGCUUAUAAAACGGCCCGCUUGGUUUACACGACAAAUUUCAAGCGGACUUGUUUUAGCAACAGG
This is a non-coding RNA of Paramuricea clavata, 263 nucleotides long. The record is from the annotation of a GenBank genome assembly. NCBI's taxonomy places the organism in Eukaryota, Metazoa, Cnidaria, Anthozoa, Malacalcyonacea, Plexauridae.